Molecule: ribosomal RNA, 258 nt
Filed under: uncultured bacterium
Lineage: Bacteria
Description: partial 16S ribosomal RNA
Rfam family: Bacterial small subunit ribosomal RNA
Source: RNAcentral
UACGAGGGGGGCAAGCGUUGUUCGGAAUUAUUGGGCGUAAAGGGUGCGUAGGCGGUUUGGUAAGUCUUAUGUGAAAUCUACAGGCUCAACUUGUAGUCUGCAUGAGAAACUGCCGGGCUUGAGUAUGGGGAGAGGUGAGUGGAAUUCCUGGUGUAGCGGUGAAAUGCGUAGAUAUCAGGAGGAACACCUGUGGCGAAAAGCGGCUCACUGGACCAUAACUGACGCUGAUGCACGAAAAGCUAGGGGGAGCAAAACAGG